Molecule: ribosomal RNA, 238 nt
Filed under: uncultured Staphylococcus sp.
Lineage: Bacteria; Bacillati; Bacillota; Bacilli; Caryophanales; Staphylococcaceae
Description: partial 16S ribosomal RNA
Rfam family: Bacterial small subunit ribosomal RNA
Source: RNAcentral
GCGGGUGAGUAACACGUGGAUAACCUACCUAUAAGACUGGGAUAACUUCGGGAAACCGGAGCUAAUACCGGAUAAUAUUUUGAACCGCAUGGUUCAAAAGUGAAAGACGGUCUUGCUGUCACUUAUAGAUGGAUCCGCGCUGCAUUAGCUAGUUGGUAAGGUAACGGCUUACCAAGGCAACGAUGCAUAGCCGACCUGAGAGGGUGAUCGGCCACACUGGAACUGAGACACGGUCCAG